RNAcentral lists this long non-coding RNA (2164 nucleotides) under Solanum tuberosum (potato). RNAcentral's name for it is "long non-coding RNA (STUB_LNC002873)". The record is from RNAcentral. Lineage: Eukaryota; Viridiplantae; Streptophyta; Magnoliopsida; Solanales; Solanaceae.
UAUGUUUCGUCAUAGUAACUAAAUUGGUUAUAACUAUUUUGGAAAAAAUAACCCAAAGUUCAGAUAAAACGUGAAUUCUGCUCAGGAUACAUGAAUGUAUUCUCAUAGAUUUCUCUCUGAAGUCUGACAUGUGAAAUUUUCAUGAAUUCUUCACAGCAGAGAAUAUCCAAAUAACACAAUCACAUUAAAAACAAAUUGAAUAUAUCGUAUGGCAAUACAGUAAAAUAAUCACAUUAGUCACAUGAUAUAUUAGUACAAGGCAUGCCAUCAUUGAGCUACUGUAUCUCACAAAUCUAAAAAAAAAAGACUAAAAAGUGUAAUAGAAAAAUUUGGGAGAUCAGAAGAGUAAAAAAAAGAGGUGUUAUCUGUCACUGUUCAAUCAGAAACACGGACCAAUUUCAUUCAUCACAUCUCCCAAAUACUACAAGCAAAACAUCAAAAUUCCAAAAAUUAAUCUAACGCCAAAUCCAAAGUAUAUUACAUAUAUAUAAAGUAAUCAUCAGAGACUUAAAUACUACGAAUCAUAGAAUUUACCAUCAUAUUGUUGCAGUUUUUUUCUCAUCAUCUGAUUUCGAUUUUAUCAUCCAGUAAAAUUGUACUAAUUCAAGUAUUUCAGAUUCUUCGACAAUUGUUAAAUGACUAAAUCAGAUACAUCUAAUACAAAAUUGACCUAAAUAAUAAUGUAUCAUCGUUUACUGAACCAUUCCAUCAUAAAUUAAGUCAAGUGGUUCACCCAAUAACAAUGCAAUUCUUGAUAUCCCUGACAUUUACGAGAGACCCAUUCACAAAGAAGGCAAUAGAUCCCUGCUUUUUUAAUCAGGUUUUUUAAAAAGUAAGUUCAAGUUCAAGAGUAGAAAGCUCAGAAGCCAAGCGUAACAAGAAAAUUUCAUUGAAGAUCCAAGCUGAUCCAAGCUUAAAAUAGAUCUCCUUACAUGUUCGCUAUCUCAUCAAUGCUUAAAAUAAUUUGACUACUAUUAAUUUGAAGGAAUGCUGGGGAUAAAAAUUAACAUCCUCCAAUCGUGAUAAGUAGCGUUAUCUAGGCACCGUGCAAAAGGUAGUUUCUCAUAGAAAUAAGAAGAAAAUACCCGUUGUCUGAGAUAUGCCAUUGAAAACAGUGUAUAUAUAUAAAUAUAUCCAAGAUAUUGUGUCAAGAGAGUACAAUUAACUCUAAUGGAUCUUCAUCUUGGAUUUGUUUAGGCUUCAUGCGGCAGACGGGUUACCAUUAACAGGCACCUGCUGCAGACUCUUGUGUGAAGCCAUAAUUAACAACAUCCAAAACUUAGCAAAGGAAUUUCUGUGAUUCAUAACCAUUAGCAAAAAUUUAAAUCAUGUAAACACAUAAGUUGCAAACAAUCAAUGGUAUAAUGUGAUGUAAAACUAUAAAAAGUGUAAAUUUUGCUCAGAUACAUGAAUAUCUUCUCAUAGAUUUCUCUCUGAAGUCUGACAUGUGAAAUUUUCAUGAAUUCAUCACAGCAGAAGACCCAAAUAAUUUUCAAAAAAUUCACAUUAAAACAGUUUCAAAUAGGAAAAUACAAAUAGCUCUCAUACUUGAAAUUUUUUUAUCUACUCAUGCUUUAGAUCGGUAUAGCGUAUAUUGCCACAAGGCAUACAAUCACUGAGCUAUUUUUCACAAAUCUGGCAAUAAAAUAUAAAAAUAUAAAAUAAUACUCAAUAAUAAUGAGAGAUCAGUAGAGUAAAAAAGAAAGGUGUUAUCUGUCACUGUUCAAUCAGAAACACGGACCAAUUUCGUUCAUCAUAUCUCCCAAAUACUAUAACCAAAACAACAAAACUCCAGAAAUUAAUCUAACACCAAAAUCUAAUUCUGUUACAGAUAUAUAAAGAAAUCAUCAGAGACUUAAAUACUACGAAUCAUGGAAUUUACCAUCAUAUUGUUGCAGUUUUUUUCUCAUCACCUGAUUUCAAUGAACAAAAAAGCUUCAAACAAAAAUCGUAAUCAAUAAAAAGAAGCACCAAAUUGAGGCGGCGGCCGGCGAAGAAAACAGCGCAAAUUAAUAUACAUUCGUUAUAACACCAUAAGGUUAUUUAUAGCUACUAGCAACCCAACCUGACUCUUAAACCCUAAUUUCAUAUUCUUUCAAAGUGGACUGGGCUGGGAUAGAUAAACCUCAACGUUGGACUAGUUCUGAUGAGGCUUAGUUUGAUG